Molecule: ribosomal RNA, 466 nt
Filed under: uncultured bacterium
Lineage: Bacteria
Description: SSU rRNA
Rfam family: Bacterial small subunit ribosomal RNA
Source: RNAcentral
AGGAUUAACGCUGGCGGCGUGCCUAACACAUGCAAGUCGAACGAGGGGGGGCAACCCCCGAGUGGCAGACGGGUGAGUAACGCGUGGUCAACCUACCCUAGAGUGGGGAAUAACUAGCCGAAAGGUUAGCUAAUACCGCAUGAUACGUUUUGGGACAUCCCAGGACGUUGAAAGGAGCAAUCCGCUCGAGGACGGGACCGCGUCCGAUUAGCUAGUUGGUGAGGUAACGGCCCACCAAGGCUCCGAUCGGUAGCUGGUUUGAGAGAGCGACCAGCCACACUGGGACUGAGAAACGGCCCAGACUCCUACGGGAGGCAGCAGUGAGGAAUUUUCCGCAAUGGGCGAAAGCCUGACGGAGCGACGCCGCGUGUGGGAAGAAGGCCUUCGGGUCGUAAACCACUGUCGAAGGGGACUAUACUGAAGGUACCCUUGGAGGAAGCCCGGCUAACUACGUGCCAGCAGCCGC